Molecule: transfer RNA, 70 nt
Filed under: Ictidomys tridecemlineatus (thirteen-lined ground squirrel)
Lineage: Eukaryota; Metazoa; Chordata; Mammalia; Rodentia; Sciuridae
Description: Spermophilus tridecemlineatus (thirteen-lined ground squirrel) tRNA
Rfam family: tRNA
About the family: Transfer RNA (tRNA) molecules are approximately 80 nucleotides in length. Their secondary structure includes four short double-helical elements and three loops (D, anti-codon, and T loops).
Source: Rfam by way of RNAcentral
GAGGCUGUAGCUCAGUGGUAAGAGUGCUCACCUAACGUGUGUGAGGCAUGGGGUUCAAUCCUCAGCAUCA